RNAcentral lists this ribosomal RNA (253 nucleotides) under uncultured prokaryote. RNAcentral's name for it is "partial 16S ribosomal RNA". It matches the Rfam family "Bacterial small subunit ribosomal RNA", at positions 524 to 776 of the family's 1533-position model. The record is from RNAcentral.
UACGUAGGGUGCAAGCGUUAAUCGGAAUUACUGGGCGUAAAGCGUGCGCAGGCGGUCUUGCAAGACAGAUGUGAAAUCCCCGGGCUCAACCUGGGAACUGCAUUUGUGACUGCAAGGCUGGAGUGCGGCAGAGGGGGAUGGAAUUCCGCGUGUAGCAGUGAAAUGCGUAGAUAUCAGGAGGAACACCGGUGGCGAAGGCGGCUUUCUGGACAGUAACUGACGCUGAGGCGCGAAAGCUAGGGGAGCAAACAGG